AGCUGACUCACAACGCCACAUUCCUCUUGAAUCCCUAUGAAGGCAUUGUUUUCGCCAACACCACACCUGCGGCGAAGGACCGCAACAGCAUCGACAUAGCUUACAGACGCACCGUUGUCAGAUUGUUAAUUAAAUCGGUGAGUAUAAUUUUGGUGGCGCUGCUCAUCCGGCAGGCGUCGACAAAGAAAUGGACUCAGCUGCGUUGCUGGAAUCGAAGUGACAGGCGAAAUAAUGAGGGCAGAUUUCGUGGUUAACGCGACUGCAUGAAUGUCGAAAAAACUUUGACAAAUAAGGGAAUUAAUAUAGUUUUUGAUACAAAAGCUCAUCUGGAGGUCUUGAUUUCAUUAUUUGUCAAAAUUCAAUUAAGGGUGCCAAAUACACACUUAGACUAAGAGAAAAAACCAGGUAUGCCAAGUAAAUAAGCAAAAAAAAAAAAAAAAUGUUUUCGUAUUUGAGUGAUGCUUUAUUUCAAUAGAGCUAAGAAUUUUAUCUUUAAAAAUAUUUUUUCGACAUUGCAGUUAAGUUUAAGGAAGUUGUAAAUUUGGUCCAUUGCGUUUACGAGUGAUUGCACAAAUUCACUGUUAGCUGUGCAGAAAAUAAGAAUU
This 605-nucleotide long non-coding RNA is filed under the name Bactrocera latifrons. RNAcentral's name for it is "uncharacterized LOC108971586, transcript variant X3". The record is from RNAcentral. Lineage: Eukaryota; Metazoa; Arthropoda; Insecta; Diptera; Tephritidae.